RNAcentral lists this ribosomal RNA (254 nucleotides) under uncultured bacterium. RNAcentral's name for it is "partial 16S ribosomal RNA". It matches the Rfam family "Bacterial small subunit ribosomal RNA", at positions 524 to 776 of the family's 1533-position model. The record is from RNAcentral.
UACGAAGGGGGCUAGCGUUGUUCGGAUUCACUGGGCGUAAAGGGUGCGUAGGUGGUCAGGUAAGUCUGAUGUGAAAGCUCUGGGCUCAACCCAGAAAUGGCAUUGGAUACUAUCUGGCUAGAGGAAUGGAGGGGGGACUGGAAUACUUGGUGUAGCAGUGAAAUGCGUAGAUAUCAAGUGGAACACCAGUGGCGAAGGCGAGUCCCUGGACAUUUCCUGACACUGAGGCACGAAAGCUAGGGGGAGCAAACAGG